This 833-nucleotide long non-coding RNA is filed under the name Marmota monax (woodchuck). Lineage: Eukaryota; Metazoa; Chordata; Mammalia; Rodentia; Sciuridae. The record is from RNAcentral.
GUCAAAGUCAUAACAAUUUGCUUUGAAGCCAGCAAUGAAGAAUGUUCCUACUGCUUAGCAUCUCCUACUUUAGGAGCUCGCCUGAUUAGACCAGGUCCAUGCAGCUUGGUCUGAUUAACUCACCUGAAUGAUUAAGUACUCUAAUUAAUUAACUGCCAAAGUUCUUCAUCUUUGCCAUAGUGUGUUGGUUAGGAGAAGGUCACCAGCCUUAUGUGCACGUGGGGAAAGGAAUUAGAGGAGCAGACAUUGGGAGACAGGAAACAGGGCCAUUGUAGGAUGUGUCUGCCACCACAUCUUGGUAAUCGGUUAACUCUAACCUGCUACCACACAUCCCAAUCUUCAUUCACCUCAGGAUCGUGUAUUAAUUCUGCACCUCCAUCCAACUCACCUAUUAUUAUAGAAACAGUUAAGAUGCUCUGUAGUUCAAAUAUUUUACUGCUUUGUGAAUCAUAAAUCCCACAGUCCUGGAUGUUGUUGGGCAGGAGGUCAGGUUAGGACUAGAGAUUAGAUAUAUCAGCAACACCAAAGUCUUUGUGGAAAUGAACUGAGGAGAAAGAGAAGUGUGAGCAGCAGAAUGUUCAGCAUCUGAGUGGCCAGGUUAGUGGGUGGGGAAGAGGAUGUGGUCAUCCAGGAGGCUUUCGUCUCCCUGGGAGAUCAUACAGAGGCAGCAUGCACAGAUGAGUGGUCGGUAAAGUAGUCCAGGCGAUGGGAGUUAAGUCAGGAACAUGGGUCAGAAAGCUUGAGGACAUGUCUUACCAGCACGUCUGGCCAUCAGAAACACCUGGGAGAGCUUUUAAAAAAUACAGAUGCGAACCAUGAAUCCCACUAUUACG